UAUUAAAGGCAACGCCUGCCCAGUGAACAAUUUAACGGCCGCGGUACCCUAACCGUGCAAAGGUAGCAUAAUAAUUUGUCUAUUAAUUGUAGACCUGCAUGAAAGGCAAAAUGAGGGCCCAACUGUCUCUUAUAGUAAACCAAUUAAACUGAUCUCCCAGUCAAAAAGCUGGAAUAUUCCCAUAAGACCAGAAGACCCUGUGAAGCUUUAACUAAACUAUUAAACCAUUUAAUAGCUCCUUUAGGUUGGGGUGACCUUGGAAAAAAAAAGAACUUCCAAAUAAGACCCAGUACUACUGACAACUGAACCAAGUUACUCCAGGGAUAACAGCGCUAUCUUCUUCAAGAGCCCAUAUCAAAAAGAAGGUUUACGACCUCGAUGUUGGAUCAGGACAUCCUAAUGGUGCAGCCGCUAUUAAGGGUUCGUUCGUUCAACGAUUAAC
This 442-nucleotide ribosomal RNA is filed under the name Dendroaspis angusticeps (eastern green mamba). Its description in RNAcentral is "partial 16S ribosomal RNA". It matches the Rfam family "Bacterial large subunit ribosomal RNA", at positions 1844 to 2592 of the family's 2925-position model. Lineage: Eukaryota; Metazoa; Chordata; Lepidosauria; Squamata; Elapidae. The record is from RNAcentral.